UACCAAAGAAGACUUUGUUUUCAAAGUGUCGGAUCAUACAGUAGAUAUUCAGUGAGUGGAAAAAUAUCAAAAUCAGGAAGGUAGGAAAGCAGUCACAGUUUUUGAGAUAGCAAAAAAAAACUUCAACAUUAGAACUCCAUCAAAUUUAAAGCCAUAACUGAAACAUUUAAAAUUAUAUUUUAGUGUUUAUUUUUUAGUUGCUGAGUUAAUGUAUUCCCUUUUUUUCUAUGUGGAUACAGGCGACAGAGGAUAUGUUCUUAUUGUUUAAAAACCUUUUCCAACGGCACCAUCAAGGGGAAGGAUUACCAAAGAAGGCUUUGUUUUAUGACAGUAAGCUCAAGUUAAAAAAGAAAGGAAAAUACAAAUCAUACACUGGGUACAUAUGCUCUAUUUGUAUUAUUGCAGUAAAAUCACUAAAAAAGCACAUUGUUUACAUAAACACAAAAAUUUGUUAAUACAACUGGAGAAGAAUUUGUAGCACUGAGAUAGCAGAACUUAACAGUAUUUUCUCUGCAUAUGAAGAAAAUCUUUGCAAAAUUGGUGUGGGAAAAAGAAAUCCCAUUUUUCUCCCAACGUCACUUGUGUCCGUAUUUCGCCAAAACAAAUGCAUGGUCGGUGUGUGUUUAUUUGGCCAAGGCAUCAAACUUUAGAAUCUGGAGGGGAAAUACCGCUGGUGGUUACAGUGUGACUCAGAAGUUGGCGUGUUGGAGCCGUAUACCUGGAGCAAACGGAACAUCUGACUUUGUUUUAAUGUUUUCAAAGUAAGUGAUUACUCUUGGGAUUUUUGUUUUAGCAUAAAUGCGCUAUAAUUUAUUUUGGCUUGCAGAUGGUUUGAAAAUAUUAACUGCAGCACAAGCUCUCCCAUACGCGACUGCUCAGACACCAGGUUGAAAUGGUUGGAGGAGAUGUUUAUCAACAAGUUGCUUGAGUGGAAGAGUUAUGUUGAAUUAAAUCACCCGGGAGAACAUAAAAGAUUAGUAGUGACUAGACCAACACUAGAAAGAUUACUGUUUACUACAUGCAAUUUCAUUGGUUUAUCAAAGAGAUUGUUACAGCACCUUGAUUAUGUUUGUCUUCAUUCCUUUAAUCAAGAUAUUUUAGAAGCCUUUUUUGGAAAUCUGGUAAGUUGAAAAACUUGGCAAAAGUGGAAUAAAUAUCAUUCAUGAAUAAGUGCUAUGUAACAAAUAUUUUUAUGGCGUCAGCUUGGAAGACGGUAAGAGAACCCUGAUGCAUCUCAAGCUGCGUAUGGUAUACAACACCUUACUGUACGCAAAGUCAUUAAAAAGAUUUAAAGGCUCAAAAUGCAAGCACAACUUAUGGGAAAAAUAAUGCUUGGAUCAAUGUCUGUGAUGUGCCAAUGCCAAAACGAAAAAGAAAAUAAACUUUGCUCAAAAUGUUAUUUUUUAUUUUGCAAUAGCGUAAACUUAGCAAAAACAUAUUACAGGGUUUUAAAGACUUUUUCUUAAACUA
This is a non-coding RNA of Ciona intestinalis (vase tunicate), 1470 nucleotides long. The record is from RefSeq and is a predicted model, not a curated record. NCBI's taxonomy places the organism in Eukaryota, Metazoa, Chordata, Ascidiacea, Phlebobranchia, Cionidae.